Molecule: unclassified non-coding RNA, 358 nt
Filed under: Ascomycota sp.
Lineage: Eukaryota; Fungi; Ascomycota
Description: partial contains small subunit ribosomal RNA, internal transcribed spacer 1, and 5.8S ribosomal RNA
Rfam family: Eukaryotic small subunit ribosomal RNA (bases 1-47)
Source: RNAcentral
AAAGUCGUAACAAGGUUUCCGUAGGUGAACCUGCGGAAGGAUCAUUACCAAUCCAAAAAACCCCUCCCACACUAUGUGCACCCGCGCAGGAGCUUCAGGGCUCUCUGUGCGAGAAGAUGCGUAAUUCUCUUCCUCUCUUUUUCUUUUUCUUUAAAAAAGAAAUUAGAGAGUGAGUAACGCUCUUCGAAUACCUUUUUUACCCCAAAUUUUUAACCCCCCCUUUUUUUUAAUAUUGAAAAAAAGGAACCCUUUCUUACGAAAGCCCUUUCUUUUAAUAAAAAAAAAGUUUUCAAAAAACACAAAAAAAUUACAACAAAAAAAAGUUAAACAACUUUUAACGGUGGAUCUCUAGGCUCGU